GCCUUGGACAGGGAGAGUACGAACAAGGCCCUCCACAUGUAUAUAUGGCAAGGCACAGCGGACGCGGCACCAAAACUGGGCAAUGAAUCACCCAUCGUACAAACGCUGAAGACGUGGUCUUCCCUGAGGCGAAACCAAUAUAUCUCCCCACAACCAAGCACCUUGAUCCCGAUAACACACAAUAGCAUGAUAGGCGGGGGACUACACCGAUCUGCCUGGCCGAUAG
Non-coding RNA from Pelobates cultripes (western spadefoot toad), 226 nucleotides. Lineage: Eukaryota; Metazoa; Chordata; Amphibia; Anura; Pelobatidae. The record is from the annotation of a GenBank genome assembly.